GGUGGCUCAGAGGUAAAACACAUGCUUUUGGGUGCAUGCAGAAGGGUCCAGGUUCAAUUCCCGGCAUCGCCA
Molecule: non-coding RNA, 72 nt
Organism: Podarcis lilfordi (Lilford's wall lizard)
Lineage: Eukaryota; Metazoa; Chordata; Lepidosauria; Squamata; Lacertidae
Source: the annotation of a GenBank genome assembly